CCUACGGGCGGCUGCAGUGGGGAAUAUUGGACAAUGGGGGCAACCCUGAUCCAGCCAUGCCGCGUGUGUGAAGAAGGCCCUCGGGUUGUAAAGCACUUUCAGUGAGGAAGAACGCCUGGUGGUUAAUACCCAUCAGGAAAGACAUCACUCACAGAAGAAGCACCGGCUAACUCCGUGCCAGCAGCCGCGGUAAUACGGAGGGUGCGAGCGUUAAUCGGAAUUACUGGGCGUAAAGCGCGCGUAGGUGGCUUGAUAAGCCGGUUGUGAAAGCCCCGGGCUCAACCUGGGAACGGCAUCCGGAACUGUCAAGCUAGAAUGCAGGAGAGGAAGGUAGAAUUCCCGGUGUAGCGGUGAAAUGCGUAGAGAUCGGGAGGAAUACCAGUGGCGAAGGCGGCCUUCUGGACUGACACUGACACUGAGGUGCGAAAGCGUGGGUAGCAAACAGGAUUAGAUACCCCAGUAGUC
RNAcentral lists this ribosomal RNA (465 nucleotides) under Vreelandella stevensii. Its description in RNAcentral is "partial 16S ribosomal RNA". It matches the Rfam family "Bacterial small subunit ribosomal RNA", at positions 338 to 795 of the family's 1533-position model. Lineage: Bacteria; Pseudomonadati; Pseudomonadota; Gammaproteobacteria; Oceanospirillales; Halomonadaceae. The record is from RNAcentral.